UCCGUAGGUGAACCUGCGGAAGGAUCAUUACCGAGUGCGGGCCCUCUGGGUCCAACCUCCCAUCCGUGUCUAUUGUACCCUGUUGCUUCGGCGUGGCCGGCUUUCCCCCCCGGGGGGAGCCACCAGUGCCCGCCGGAGACUCCAACAUCUGAACACUAUCUGAAGAUUGCAGUCUGAGUUUAUAGUUAAACAAUCGUUAAAACUUUCAACAACGGAUCUCUUGGUUCCGGCAUCGAUGAAGAACGCAGCGAAAUGCGAUAACUAAUGUGAAUUGCAGAAUUCAGUGAAUCAUCGAGUCUUUGAACGCACAUUGCGCCCCCUGGUAUUCCGGGGGGCAUGCCUGUCCGAGCGUCAUUGCUGCCCUCAAGCACGGCUUGUGUGUUGGGCCACCGUCCCGGGAACUUCUGGUCCCUGGGACGGGCCCGAAAGGCAGCGGCGGCACCGUGUCUGGUCCUCGAGCGUAUGGGGCUUUGUCACCCGCUCCCGUAGGUCCAGCCGGCGGCCAGCCUCGCAACCAACCAUUCUUUAACCAGGUUGACCUCGGAUCAGGUAGGGAUACCCGCUGAACUUAAGCAUAUCAAUAAGCGGAGGA
Molecule: ribosomal RNA, 592 nt
Filed under: Aspergillus ruber
Lineage: Eukaryota; Fungi; Ascomycota; Eurotiomycetes; Eurotiales; Aspergillaceae
Description: eukaryotic LSU rRNA
Rfam family: 5.8S ribosomal RNA (bases 201-354)
Source: RNAcentral